Molecule: long non-coding RNA, 1351 nt
Filed under: Homo sapiens (human)
Lineage: Eukaryota; Metazoa; Chordata; Mammalia; Primates; Hominidae
Description: SPRY4 antisense RNA 1
Source: RNAcentral
GAAUCUUUCUGCCAGUGUGUUAAAGUUAUUCUGAUAUUGACUGUAGUUCUGAGCUUUGUCUCUAUCCCACCAAACCACUAACUUCUGGAAAUUACUUGUAGACCAAGAUGGGAGGACUCCGUGUGUGGCUCCGUGAAUAUGAAUGACUUAUCGUGCCUGUCCAGAGUCAGGGAAAGGAGAAACAAUCUUAUUUGAGAAGGGAGGAUAUCACUGCAGUGGUUGUGAAAUCGUGUUUGGAAGCUAGAUUGCUCUAGACCACUAAGGUCUGUGUCUCCUCUUGGUCUUCACAGCUCUCUUCAUGUGACAAAGAAACUUCCUAAAAUACUAAAAGCUAAAGGAGAUUGUUAUCUAAGCUUGAGAUGGAAGGUUGCCAGCGGAAACUUGGAGGAUCACAGCCAGUCGCCUGGGAUUGACCACAGGGAGUGGCAGAGGCAGAAAGCAAAAGACCAGUUGCAAUUAUCCAGGUAAAAGAUGGAGGCUGUUGCAAUAAUCCAGAAUCCUGAAUUGAGCCUGUGUUCCCAGUUCCUAGAAACCCUCAAGGUUAUUGGUUUCCUCCUCGCUUAAUAGACCAGUGGAAGAAAUCUACCUCCAGUUCUAUCUUCACAUGAGCAACUGUUUACAGUUUACAAUAUUACUCUGAAAAUCAGUUCUUUUCAAGUUUUAUCUAACACCCACCAGAAGAAACAGAAGAUUAUGAAAAUGGAAUUUGUCAAAGUUCCUCUCCCAACAAUAUGAUAUUUAAUUUUGCUAACAUUUUUUUUUGAACACUUACUAUAUUGCAGACAAUGGUCUAAGUAAAGCAUUUUAUGUGCAUCCUAUCAUGUCAUCAUCACACAGCCCUGUGAGGUAGAUACUAUUAUUAUUAACCACAUUUCACAUUCAAAAAAACUGAGGCUUAGAGAGACUAAGUAAAUUGUCCAAGGUCACACAGCCAUGAAGUGGCAGAGCUGUGGUUAAAACCUAUGUCUGUCUGAUGUUUAAGAUUUUGCUGUUAGCAUUACUUUGAAAUGACAAUAUGAGGGCAUUUUAUGUAUUUUUUUUGCCCCAAUAUGAUCUGCAGAAACUAUGUAUUUUAAGUACUACAUUUCUUUUAUUUACCAAAUUAUUGUCAGAUAAGAAACCGAAAUAAAAGUUUACAGGGUCUAGGAUUCCUCCAUAAUGAAUGAACUUUGGGGUAUUUCAGUGACAAAUUGGCUUUAACGCGAUCAAAUUCCAUCCUACAAUGAAAGUGUGUUAGUUUGUGGUUUCAAGUUUAAAAACAGCACUGUAUUGUCUUCCAGAAAUAUAUAAAUAGAAAUUCAAGAAGUAUUUCAAUGAAUACAGAUAAAAUUAGUUUUGUUAGAACAUCAAA